GAAUGAACGCUGGCGGCGUGCUUAACACAUGCAAGUCGAACGUGAAAGUCCUUCGGGAUGAGUAAAGUGGCGAACGGGUGCAUAACGCGUGAGAAUCUACCCUUGGGUGAAGGAUACCCUGGAGAAAUCCAGGCUAAUACUGCAUAAGCCGGGAGACCGGGAAAGGUGGCCUCUUGCUACCGCGCAAGGAUGAGCUCGCGUACUAUUAGCUAGUUGGUGGGGUAAAGGCCUACCAAGGCGAAGAUGGUUAGCCGGCCUGAGAGGGUGUACGGCCACAAUGGGACUGAGAUACGGCCCAUACUCCUACGGGAGGCAGCAGUGGGGAAUAUUGCACAAUGGGCGCAAGCCUGAUGCAGCGACGCCGCGUGGAGGAUGAAGGUUUUCGGAUUGUAAACUCCUGUUAAGUGGGAAGAAAGAGUGUGGGUUAAUACCCCGCAAAGAUGACGGUACCACUAGAGAAAGCACCGGCUAACUUCGUGCCAGCAGCCGCGGUAAUACGAGGGGUGCAAGCGUUAUUCGGAAUAACUGGGCGUAAAGAGUGCGUAGGCGGCUUAUUAAGUCUGUUGUUAAAUUGCUCGGCUCAACUGGGUAUCGGCAAUAGAAACUGGUAAGCUCGAGGACAAGAGAGAGAAGUGGAAUUCUCGGAGUAGCGGUAAAAUGCGUAGAUCUCGAGAGGAACACCGAUGGCGAAGGCAGCUUCUUGGCUUGUAUCUGACGCUGAAGUACGAAAGCGUGGGGAGCAAACAGGAUUAGAUACCCUGGUAGUCCACGCUGUAAACGAUGAUCACUAGAUAUGGGAUCUGCAUAGCAGAAUCUGUGUCGAAGCUAACGCGUUAAGUGAUCCGCCUGGGGAGUACGGUCGCAAGAUUAAAACUCAAAGAAAUUGACGGGGGUCCGCACAAGCGGUGGAACAUGUGGUUUAAUUCGACACUACGCGAGGAACCUUACCUAGGCUUGACAUGUAGCUGCUACCGAUGGAAACAUUGGGUUUUAUGGGAAACCAUAGACGGUUACACAGGUGCUGCAUGGCUGUCGUCAGCUCGUGUCGUGAGAUGUUGGGUUAAGUCCUUUAACGAGCGCAACCCUUGCCGUUAGUUGCCAACCUGAAAGGGAGCACUCUAGCGGGACUGCCUGCGAAAGCAGGAGGAAGGUGGGGAUGACGUCAAGUCCUCAUGGCCCUUAUGCCUAGGGCUACACACGUGUUACAAUGGCGAGUACAAACGGAAGCAAGACCGCGAGGUGGAGCAAAUCUGAAAAAACUCGUCUAAGUUCGGAUCGAAGUCUGCAACCCGACUUCGUGAAGUUGAAAUCGCUAGUAAUCGCGCAUCAGAACGGCGCGGUGAAUACGUUCUCGGACCU
RNAcentral lists this ribosomal RNA (1359 nucleotides) under uncultured bacterium. RNAcentral describes it as "bacterial SSU rRNA". It matches the Rfam family "Bacterial small subunit ribosomal RNA", at positions 27 to 1381 of the family's 1533-position model. The record is from RNAcentral.